GGUGGCUCAGUGGUAGAACGCUUGCCUUGCAUGCAUGAGGCCCUGGGUUCGAUUCCACAGCACCA
This 65-nucleotide transfer RNA is filed under the name Dipodomys ordii (Ord's kangaroo rat). It matches the Rfam family "tRNA". From Rfam's summary of the family: Transfer RNA (tRNA) molecules are approximately 80 nucleotides in length. Their secondary structure includes four short double-helical elements and three loops (D, anti-codon, and T loops). Lineage: Eukaryota; Metazoa; Chordata; Mammalia; Rodentia; Heteromyidae. The record is from Rfam by way of RNAcentral.